GCUUACAAUCCGUCAGAGCCUCUUUUGUGGGGUGAUGGCGUGCCUUUUGAAGAAUGAGCCUGCGAGUCAGCGGCAUGUCGCGAGGUUAACCCGUGUGGGGUAGUCGUAGCGAAAGCGAAUCCUAACGAGGGUGUGUUAGUGGCAUGUUCUGGACCCGAAGCGGGGUGAUCUACCCAUGGCCAGUGUGAAGCAGCAGUAAGAUGCUGUGGAGGCGCGAACCCACUUAGGUUAAAAACUGAGGGGAUGAGCUGUGGGUAGGGGUGAAAGGCCAAUCAAACUCCGUGAUAGCUGGUUCUCCCCGAAAUGCAUUUAGGUGCAGCGUCGUGUGUUUCUUCCUGGAGGUAGAGCUACUGGUUGGUUGAGCGGGACCACAAUCUUAGCAAUGUCAGCCAAACUCCGAAUGCCAGUGAAGUCAGAAUACGGCAGUGAGACUGCGGGGGAUAAGCUCCGUUGGUCGAGAGGGAAACAGCCCAGAUCGCCGGUUAAGGCCCCUAAGCGUGUACUAAGUGGGAAAGGAUGUGGGAUCGCGAAGACAGCCAGGAGGUUGGCUUAGAAGCAGCCAUUCCUUUAAAGAGUGCGUAAUAGCUCACUAGUCAAG
This 598-nucleotide ribosomal RNA is filed under the name Thalassiosira rotula. RNAcentral describes it as "partial Bacterial large subunit ribosomal RNA". It matches the Rfam family "Bacterial large subunit ribosomal RNA", at positions 562 to 1153 of the family's 2925-position model. Lineage: Eukaryota; Bacillariophyta; Thalassiosirophyceae; Thalassiosirales; Thalassiosiraceae. The record is from RNAcentral.